Molecule: long non-coding RNA, 469 nt
Organism: Lactuca sativa (garden lettuce)
Lineage: Eukaryota; Viridiplantae; Streptophyta; Magnoliopsida; Asterales; Asteraceae
Source: RefSeq, a predicted model, not a curated record
GGACUUGUACAACUGUCUCAUGGACAUUCCGCUGUUUUUAUGAAAAGUAUAAAAUGAGCAAUGGAGAGCUGUCAUUCACAGAUGCUGCUUCUACAGAACCUCCUUCUGGUGCAAAACAGACAAGUCAAAGUCAAACUCCUGGAUCAGGGAUCAGGAAGGGCAAGAGCAUGAGCCAUUUGACGUUCACAACGCCUUCUUGGUAAUGGCGAGGUUGGGGAUCCCAUCAUUAAGGAUAAGACUCCAAGCACGGCAAUAAAUCAUUAAAAGCAAACCAUUGUUUUGGUGGAAGAAUGAAUAUACAGAUGUCGAGCUUGAUAGGGUGCGUGAAAAACGGGCUAUUUAUGUCAUAAAUUUUAUUUACUAGUGAUAUGAAUUUGUCAAUUACUUUUUAAUGAAUUUGGACCGUAUUUUUGAAUUUGACACUAUAGUUCGUGUAAGCCUUUUUAUAUAUGUAUGAUGUUUUGUUUUG